UACGGGGGGGGCAAGCGUUGUUCGGAAUUACUGGGCGUAAAGGGCUCGUAGGUGGUCAACUAAGUCGGACGUGAAAUCCCUCGGCUUAACCGGGGAACUGCGUCCGAUACUGGAUGACUUGAGUUCGGGAGAGGGAUGCGGAAUUCCAGGUGUAGCGGUGAAAUGCGUAGAUAUCUGGAGGAACACCGGUGGCGAAGGCGGCGUCACUGGUCCAUUACGUGACGCUGAGGUGCGAAAGCGUGGGGAGCAAACAGG
Molecule: ribosomal RNA, 255 nt
Filed under: uncultured bacterium
Lineage: Bacteria
Description: partial 16S ribosomal RNA
Rfam family: Bacterial small subunit ribosomal RNA
Source: RNAcentral